Cyanistes caeruleus (blue tit) is the source of this 347-nucleotide long non-coding RNA. RefSeq lists it as uncharacterized. NCBI's taxonomy places the organism in Eukaryota, Metazoa, Chordata, Aves, Passeriformes, Paridae. The record is from RefSeq and is a predicted model, not a curated record.
UAAACACCCCCAGCUCCCUCAGAAAUCUUGCAGAUGUGCCAAAAAGUAUAAUCCUUCAAAAGAAGCUUGUUGCAGUCACAAGAAAGUCUUGUAAAUGAGGUGCCACCUGGGAUCACAGAAGGGCCUUCUCAGCCAGUUUUGAAGAAGAUUGUUUGAUGCUGGGGAAAUAAGCUUAUUGAAUAUCCUGAAAACUGACCCUUUACUUGAAAGGUCCAAGUUAACGCUGUACUAUUUUUUGUUUAAGGGCAGUUAAGAAAAUGGGAGGGGUUAUGUACACAGAAUUAAAAUCCUAUUGUAAUAAAAACUCCAAACCAAACAUGACAACAAAAACUUUUCUUUCCCCUAAA